RNAcentral lists this ribosomal RNA (498 nucleotides) under uncultured bacterium. RNAcentral's name for it is "partial 16S ribosomal RNA". It matches the Rfam family "Bacterial small subunit ribosomal RNA", at positions 28 to 507 of the family's 1533-position model. The record is from RNAcentral.
GACGAACGCUGGCGGCGUGCCUAAUACAUCCAAGUCGAGCGGACGGAUGGGAGCUUGCUCCCAGACCGUCAGCGGCGGACGGGUGAGUAACACGUGGGCAACCUGCCUGUAUGACCGGGAUAACUCCGGGAAACCGGGGCUAAUACCGGAUAACUCUUUCCCUCACAUGAGGGAAAGCUGAAAGAUGGCAACUCGCUAUAACUUACAGAUGUGCCCGCUGCGCUGUAGCCAGAUGGGGUGGUUACGGCUCACCAAGGCGACCAAGCGAAGCCGCCCUGAGAGGGAGAUCGGCCAAACUGGGACUGAGACACGACCCAGACUCCUACGGGAGGCAGCAGUCGGGAAUCUUACGCGAGGGAGGAAUGUCUAACGGAGCAACGUGGCGUGAGUGAUGAUGGUGUGCGGAUCGUUAAGCUCUGUAGUCAGGGAAGAACAAGUGCCGUAGUAAAUGCCGGUACCUUGACGGUACCUGAGCAGAAAGCCACGGCUAACUACGUG